Molecule: long non-coding RNA, 277 nt
Organism: Mytilus trossulus (common blue mussel)
Lineage: Eukaryota; Metazoa; Mollusca; Bivalvia; Mytilida; Mytilidae
Exons: 2
Source: RefSeq, a predicted model, not a curated record
UACAUUUUUUUUAAAAGUGCCAAUUUAACAAAGACUAAUAGGGAAAAAUCAAUGGUGGUAUUACACCUAUUUAGGGAAACCAUAUGUGCACUCGUGACCUUAUUGUACUUUCAUUUUUAAAAGUUAUAAAUAAACCAAUUCAUACAUUGUAAACAUGGACAAUUCGGAAUGGAUUUAGACACAGAAAGCACGUUUGAGUGUUAACCAUGUUCUGAAGAGCAUUCUGUUGAAAAAUCUUAUAUGUGAAUUGGUCUGCAGAUGACACUUCAGCAUUAAA